GAAAAUACGUUCAAUAAUUUGGUAAAAAAGAACAGUCUACAAUUUAUGACUUGACAAUUUUAAUGCCAAGACAGUCCGAUAAAAAAAUCUAUGUGGGAAAAGUAACAGCACCUCAACUGUUAUCAACAGUACCAG
This is a long non-coding RNA of Frieseomelitta varia, 135 nucleotides long. RefSeq lists it as uncharacterized. The record is from RefSeq and is a predicted model, not a curated record. The transcript is spliced from 2 exons. NCBI's taxonomy places the organism in Eukaryota, Metazoa, Arthropoda, Insecta, Hymenoptera, Apidae.